This is a long non-coding RNA of Oncorhynchus tshawytscha (Chinook salmon), 2040 nucleotides long. RefSeq lists it as uncharacterized. NCBI's taxonomy places the organism in Eukaryota, Metazoa, Chordata, Actinopteri, Salmoniformes, Salmonidae. The record is from RefSeq and is a predicted model, not a curated record. The transcript is spliced from 5 exons.
GAAGCCCAUCAGUUGUUUCACAUGAUUGCUAAGUGUCAGAAUAAAAAUGUUGCACUGAUAACUUGUUUUGUAAUGGUUGCUUUAUUUGACCACAGUAGUGUUCAAUAUUAUAUCAUUUCUGUGUGUCAGUAUCCUUACAAAUAUGUAAAUCUGCAUACUCUAUGACACAGAUACGGGCAAGAAUAAAGUAACCUUCUGUCUACACUUGAAAUGUUAGGGGUGAACCUCGGACCCUUCACGAAAUCCAGGAAUGGCAACAGCUGGUGUCUGACGGCGAACGAUUACUUUACCAAGUGGGUGGAGGCAAUCAAUACCCAUUAAGGAUGAAACUGGCGAUACCCAUUAGAGAUGAGACUGGCAAGGCCACCUCCAAGGCGAUGAUGGACAUCUUCAACACCCACGGUUCUCCUGAGGUCAUCUUGAGUGACCGAGGUCGUGAACUCUGGAACAAGGUUUGCAUGAACGGACCAACCAGACCCUCAAGACUGACUAAGGAAAGUCCCUUGAUGGGUACCAGGAACGGUGGGAGGACAAGCUGAAGGUAAUUCUCUUUGCAUACAACAGCAGCGUACAGGCCUCCACCGAGUUCUCGCCCUAUCACCUGCUGCAAGGACGGCAGCCGCAGCUGUUGACUGAGGUAAACAAUGCAAUUGUAUAUACAAUUAUUGCAUAUAAUGUAGUCUUUAACAUUUGUGAUUGACUUUGUGUUGUUGUUUGUCUAUUGCUAUUUUUGUAUUACGUACUUUCAGAUCACUGAAGUCCCACCUGAUGAGGUGGAAGUUGUCUAGAGCAGAACCCCACAAAAAUCUCAGAUAAUAACUACUUGCAUUUGCACACAAAAUAACCUGAAGCUAGUUUUAGUUUAAAAAAAAAUCAUCUUUGUCUAUGGUUACUUCGGAGAAAACAAGAACCUUCUCCAGUUGGAGCAGUUAUACGGUCGACCACUGAAAGCCCCGAGGCACUUCAGUGAAGCACAAUAGACAAAAACCAUUGACUGUCUGAGUCAUCCAGGAGGUAUCCGAUUCACUAGAGCCAGUGAAGUGAAGUUGGAGGGGGACCAGUGAAGUCAAAGGGGGACCAGCUUGAGGUUGAGACCAUGGUAGUAGAUGAGGAGGAGCAGUAUGACCAGGGUUAUUCUUGGCCGAGCAGUCCUUACAAAGCUUUCCUCCAAGGCUCUGAUGCAUCUAAUGUUGUCCAGAGGCCUGUGUCUGCAGGCUUCAGGAAAGUCAUUGGGCUGGACUGCCAUGUGGACAGUGCAGUGCAUUUGUGAAUGAAUGAAUGGAUGGAUACAUUUAAUUGAAUGAUACUGUAUUGAUCAGUUAGAGGGGAAAUUGUGUUUGAAGUUCACCACCACCGGUGUCGUGGAAAUAUUCAGUCAAUAAUAUUUCUCAAAUACCGGAGCCUGUGAGUUCAAAUAGACUUCUAUUACAAUACAAUAAAAGCCGAGCUGGUUCAUGAAAACUGCCUUUUCAACCUUGGCACACACUUCUAAUACAUUUUUCCUCCUUCCAUCACUCACAUAGUAACUCCUUUUUAUGUUAAUAAUUCAUCCCCUCUGGCAUUUAGCUACCGUUAUCUUUUUGCCUUGCACUAAUUUUAGUUUGGCUUCAUAUUAGGGCAUGGAAACAUGAGAUCCAUAGCAAUAGUUCAAAAAUAAACAGACAUGUCAUCCUGCUAACUCCUCUGAAAUGAACACACAUGUUCUGGAAAAUUCUCAAUUGGCGUAACCAUAGCAACAGUAAAUAUUAGGCCAUAGCACUGUUACAGAAAUAAACAGUCAUGUCCACUCCUCAGACACGUGCAUGUCUAAUGGUGUCUAAUGACCCAAAGCACAUAUAGAGUGCACUAUUCUUGCUGGCUCCUCUGAAAUGUAUAAUGGCCACACAUUGCCUCCAUCUUCUCUUGCUCUCUCCUCACCCUCAACAUUUAUGUUGCAUCUCGCUCCCUACACUGUACUGGCAGCACAGUGUGUGUGUGUUUCUCUUUCAUUAUGAUUAAACCAUGCUGUUAUGGCAAAAUACAAUUUGCUCUUAACGACAU